GACAUUUCACUCAUGCAGACAACAUGCUGCUGUUUACCUUUCUCGUUGCAACUUCACUUUGGUCCCGUGGAGAUGCGCAGGCUGCACCAGUGCAAAGCCCUGCAGAGCUCUGGCUGCUGGAGGGCAGCUCAGUCACCAUGACAUGCCAGCUGAGUAGUGGCACCGUUGUGCACUGGUACAGGCAGCUUCCUGGGGAGCCACCCAAGAGGAUACUGUACAUGUAUGGAUACUCACCUACCUUUGAUGACAGCAACGAUAGGCAGAAGUUUCAAGUGCAGAGAAAUCCUUCCAACUCUGUUCUGAUAAUAAAGAAAACAACCCAGCGGGAUACUGGUACUUACUAUUGUGCAUACUGGUAUAGGCAAGGCUUCACAGCGUUAGAUGGGCAAAGAUAAGCCAUACAAAAAGGCAUUUGGCACUCUGAACCUCAAGCUCUGAACUCCCACAAGUUGCAAGUUUGUCUCUAUGCCACCUUUCUCUGGUGAUUUUCUGCAGCAGGAUAGGAAAAGCAAAAGAUAAGCAUGGCCAAUGCAAAAUGGAUUCUGUUAAUUACUAUUCAGAACAUGUUUUCCAUACUGGUACAUGCCAGUAUGGCAUGUGACAUGCAGAAGCUGGACGUUCUUAAUCGUUUAAGGUUAAAAAUUGGUGACUUUGCAGUUAUGUUGAAGAACUGACUGUACUCAGAGCACACACCUGACAGUGAGCACAGAAUGUCUGUGCCUGUGAACAAAGAGGAGCUGUAAAUUUCCAUUCUUUAUUAAAAUCCAUGGAGCAAGCAGACAAACAUAUCUCUAUCUCCUCGGGGCCCUCACUUGAUAGGAGGCAUACAUGUGAAACACUGAGAGAAAAAUACAUGAUCUUCUACAUCCUCCUUCAUAUUUUCUUCUGAUGGCUUCCUUAACAUUUCAGCCUUUUUUCAACAUGCUAGGA
Non-coding RNA from Gallus gallus (chicken), 930 nucleotides. Lineage: Eukaryota; Metazoa; Chordata; Aves; Galliformes; Phasianidae. The record is from the annotation of a RefSeq genome assembly.